Triplophysa rosa is the source of this 488-nucleotide long non-coding RNA. RefSeq lists it as uncharacterized. The transcript has 3 exons. NCBI's taxonomy places the organism in Eukaryota, Metazoa, Chordata, Actinopteri, Cypriniformes, Nemacheilidae. The record is from RefSeq and is a predicted model, not a curated record.
GUGAACUUUGAAGAGACGGGUAUUUCGCGGUGCUAACAAAGUAUCAGUUCAGCUCAGAAGUCUACUGUGUCAUAAUUAAUGUUUUAAAGUUGAAUCAUAAGCCAAGCUCUAAACCACUGCAGGUCUGACUUUGACGGUUGAGGCAAAUUCAGUGACACAAUCAAAGGCUCCUGAAAAUACCCGAGACUGACAGACAUAGCUCUGGUUCGGCCUGAUGCUCAAGGUUAAUGACCACAGCCAUAGAUGGAAAGUGGUGGGAAUCUGCGAUGAUCAUGGCCUGCAAUUUGAGCCCCAUGUCAGACCCUACUUUUGUUUUGCCAGAAACUCAAAAUCAUUACCACACACAAAAAUAAUGUAUGUAGUUGACUUCUUGGCUGCACUGCUUGCUGUAUAAUCUUGCUGAUCAGUUAACUUUAAAUAGCAAUUGUGUAUUUUUAUAAUUUUCCUGGUUAUAUAUACUUUUAUUUCUAUACAUUUUUGUUCUCACA